UGUGUCCAAUAAGACCAAGAAAAAGUAAAAAAAUAAAUAAAAAUAGACGUCAAAUCUGCGGGUCUGUCCUCUUCAAAAGUCCGGAAGAAGAGGGGGAAAAGUUUUUCCGUGGCGUCCCGUGGCCGCCUGGAGGAGGACUAACGUUCUCCUGCAAGAAACUUCUUAAAGAGACAUCACCACCACCACCAACACCACCUCCUCCUUCAGCAUUAUUCAUGACUACCAGGGGCGUGUUCACACCAUCCGUGGCUAGUAGGGCUGCCGCCACCACCGGCCCAUCCGCAGAUACAGCGUUCAUGAAAACGGUUCCAUUAUUGGAGCUGGGAGGGCGCUUUGCGUCCCCCCCCCUGUUUUCAGCACCUGUCUCCAAUCAGCCUCAUCACCACCGGUAUAUAAGCCUGCCUGUUCCAGGAAAUCCUCGCCAAAGUAUUGCAGUUACUUCCAGCGUGUUUUCCCCCGUGUUCCUGAUCCGCGUCAUUCCUGCCACCUGUCCACGCCACUGCCUGACAACCCACCUCGGACCACCGCCAUUACCUUUCAUCACUAAACUGUUCAUCAUUUUACAUCUGCUUCCGCCUGCUCUUGGAUCCAGCUACUCCCCAUACGUGACAACAAGCUUGAUUUAUUUUAAUAUUCUGGAAACCUUUCACGUUAUGUUUUUUUUUUUCUAAAAGAUGAAUCACAGUGGGUUCAUAUAUACAAAAAAAAAAAGAUUACAUACUGUAGUGUGCCGUGCCUUCGAAAGCAACAUCAGGCGGAACAUUAAGGCAAAGUAAUGAAAUCAUGUCCUCUCAUUGGGGUUAAGCCACAUCCAAGGCAAACAGCUCUUAACUGGAACCACUUGUGUGCCUUUUUAUUGCCUACUUUCCUGCGAUGGAAACAUGUCCUUGAAGGCAUCACGCAGACAACAAGCACAACACAUGGAACAAGCACUGUUUAAACUUUUAAAAGUGCAAAGGUAUUGAUUUGAUCGACGUUAGUUAGCAUGUUUACAUCCCCCUCACCUCGUCAGAAUAAAAAAAAUAGACGGUCCCAUCAUCUCCACAAACCAGGAAGUGGUCUGCUAACAUACGUAUGGAUAAAAAAAAUACGGCGUUCAACAAGAAAUGUAUUUAUUUAUUUUUUGUUUUGAUGUUUCGAUUGAAAAUAAACUUCAACUUGAGUGUCAAUAAACAGCUUGAAGCAAACACUUGGCCGUCUUUU
This is a long non-coding RNA of Phyllopteryx taeniolatus (common seadragon), 1203 nucleotides long. RefSeq lists it as uncharacterized. The record is from RefSeq and is a predicted model, not a curated record. The transcript is spliced from 3 exons. Lineage: Eukaryota; Metazoa; Chordata; Actinopteri; Syngnathiformes; Syngnathidae.